UCCCAUGUGGUCCAGUGGUUAGGACUCAGUGCUUCCAUUACUGUGGGCCGGGGUUCAAUCCCUGGUCAGGGAA
Non-coding RNA from Bos taurus (domestic cattle), 73 nucleotides. The record is from Rfam. Lineage: Eukaryota; Metazoa; Chordata; Mammalia; Artiodactyla; Bovidae.